RNAcentral lists this ribosomal RNA (492 nucleotides) under uncultured bacterium. Its description in RNAcentral is "partial 16S ribosomal RNA". It matches the Rfam family "Bacterial small subunit ribosomal RNA", at positions 29 to 507 of the family's 1533-position model. The record is from RNAcentral.
AUUGAACGCUGGCGGCAUGCUUUACACAUGCAAGUCGAACGGUAACAGGCCUUCGGGUGCUGACGAGUGGCGCACGGGUGAGUAAUGCAUCGGAACGUACCCAGAGGUGGGGGAUAACGCAGCGAAAGCUGUGCUAAUACCGCAUGUGAUCUGAGGAUGAAAGCGGGGGACCGAGCAGCAAUGUUUGGCCUCGCGCCUUUGGAGCGGCCGAUGUCGGAUUAGCUAGUUGGUGGGGUAAAGGCCUACCAAGGCGACGAUCCGUAGCUGGUCUGAGAGGACGACCAGCCACACUGGGACUGAGACACGGCCCAGACUCCUACGGGAGGCAGCAGUGGGGAAUGUUGGACAAUGGGCGCAAGCCUGAUCCAGCAAUGCCGCGUGCGGGAAGAAGGCCUUCGGGUUGUAAACCGCUUUUGGCAGGAACGAAACGGCGUCCGCUAAUACCGGGCGCUAAUGACGGUACCUGCAGAAUAAGCACCGGCUAACUACGUG